RNAcentral lists this ribosomal RNA (513 nucleotides) under Dardanus impressus. RNAcentral describes it as "partial 16S ribosomal RNA". It matches the Rfam family "Bacterial large subunit ribosomal RNA", at positions 1832 to 2597 of the family's 2925-position model. Lineage: Eukaryota; Metazoa; Arthropoda; Malacostraca; Decapoda; Diogenidae. The record is from RNAcentral.
GUCUCUCUGAAGGUAUAAAGAGUCUGACCUGCCCACUGAAAUAUUAAAGGGCCGCGGUAUUUCUGACCGUGCGAAGGUAGCAUAAUCAUUAGUCUUUUAAUUGAAGGCUUGUAUGAAUGGUUGGACGAGAGAAUAGCUGUCUCAAUUAAAAACUUGAAUUUAACUUUUAAGUGAAAAGGCUUAAAUAACUUGAAAAGACGAUAAGACCCUAUAAAUCUUAAUAUUAACUCUAAUUAGUUUUUUAAUUUAUAUUUCAAUCAAAAUACUAAUAUGUUAAUAUUCUGUUGGGGCGACAAAAAUAUAAAAUAAUUAACUGUUUUAAAAAAUGUACAAUAAUAUUUGACUUUUAAAGAUCCUCUGUCGAGAUUAAAAGAUCAAGUUACUUUAGGGAUAACAGCGUUAUUUUUUUUAAGAGUUCAUAUCGAAAAAAAAGUUUGCGACCUCGAUGUUGAAUUAAAAUUUCUUUGUGGUGCAGCAGCUACAUAAGAAAGUCUGUUCGACUUUUAAAAUUUU